GACGAAAGGUAACAGAGGCGUGCAAAGGAUUCCUCAUAUCAAACGGAGCUUGGCUCUCAAGUAUAAAGACAGAAGGGAGCUUGACUACAAGAUCCACCCGUUGAGCAAGGACAAAAGUCGGUCUUAGUAAUCUAAGGGUGCCAAGUGGAAGGGUUGUCGCUCAAC
Ribosomal RNA from Nicotiana attenuata, 165 nucleotides. It matches the Rfam family "Bacterial large subunit ribosomal RNA", at positions 2285 to 2453 of the family's 2925-position model. NCBI's taxonomy places the organism in Eukaryota, Viridiplantae, Streptophyta, Magnoliopsida, Solanales, Solanaceae. The record is from Rfam.